GACGAACGCUGGCGGCGUGCCUAAUACAUGCAAGUAGAACGCUGAAGGAGGAGCUUGCUUCUCUGGAUGAGUUGCGAACGGGUGAGUAACGCGUAGGUAACCUGCCUGGUAGCGGGGGAUAACUAUUGGAAACGAUAGCUAAUACCGCAUAAUAGCAGUUGUUGCAUGACAACUGUUUGAAAGGUGCAAUUGCACCACUACCAGAUGGACCUGCGUUGUAUUAGCUAGUUGGUGGGGUAACGGCUCACCAAGGCGACGAUACAUAGCUGACCUGAGAGGGUGAUCGGCCACACUGGGACUGAGACACGGCCCAGACGCCUACGGGAGGCAGCAGUAGGGAAUCUUCGGCAAUGGACGGAAGUCUGACCGAGCAACGCCGCGUGAGUGAAGAAGGUUUUCGGAUCGUAAAGCUCUGUUGUAAGAGAAGAACGAGUGUGAGAGUGGAAAGUUCACACUGUGACGGUAUCUUACCAGAAAGGGACGGCUAACUACGUG
RNAcentral lists this ribosomal RNA (495 nucleotides) under uncultured bacterium. RNAcentral's name for it is "partial 16S ribosomal RNA". It matches the Rfam family "Bacterial small subunit ribosomal RNA", at positions 28 to 507 of the family's 1533-position model. The record is from RNAcentral.